Molecule: ribosomal RNA, 699 nt
Filed under: uncultured bacterium
Lineage: Bacteria
Description: bacterial SSU rRNA
Rfam family: Bacterial small subunit ribosomal RNA
Source: RNAcentral
AGAGUUUGAUCCUGGCUCAGAAUGAACGCUGGCGGCGUGCCUAACACAUGCAAGUCGUGCGCGAAAGUAGACUUCGGUCUGCGAUUAGAGCGGCGAACGGGUGAGUAACACGUGGGUAACCUACCUGAGAGCGGGGGAUAACCCGGGGAAACCUGGACUAAUACCGCAUAUUAUCUGGAGGCAUCAGUCUCCAGAGGAAAGCUGGCCUAUGCUUGCAAGCCAGCACUUUCAGAUGGGCCCGCGGCCAAUUAGCUAGUUGGUGGGGUAAUGGCCUACCAAGGCUACGAUCGGUAGCCGGCCUGAGAGGGCGAUCGGCCACACUGGGACUGAGACACGGCCCAGACUCCUACGGGAGGCAGCAGUGGGGAAUAUUGGACAAUGGGGGCAACCCUGAUCCAGCAACGCCGCGUGGAGGAAGAAGGCUUUCGGGUCGUAAACUCCUGUCAGUUGGGACGAAAAGUUAUCGGUUAAUAUCCGGUAACUCUGACGGUACCAGCAGAGGAAGCCCCGGCUAACUCCGUGCCAGCAGCCGCGGUAAUACGGGGGGGGCAAGCGUUAUUCGGAAUUACUGGGCGUAAAGGGCGCGUAGGCGGCAAAGUAGGUCAAAGGUGAAAUCCCUCGGCUCAACCGAGGAACUGCCUUUUGAACCACUUAACUAGAGGCUGGGAGGGGAUAGUGGAAUUCCCCGUGUAGCGGUGA